ACCUGAUAGCAGUUGAAAAGAUUGAACGGGGGCAAAGAUGAGCACCGAAUCCUUUUUUUUUUUAUUUUCUCAAAAUUGGAAGUUUUCAUAGUUGUAGGACAGUCGAUAUCCUUAGUUUCACUUUACGUCAGGAACUUUCCAACGAGUGUUUGGUGGUUAUUUUUUUUUAAACGUUCGUUAGGUAGUGCUGUAUUUAACGGUAUAGUAUAAAACUUGAAGUAUUACAGUGCCCUGCUAUUACCUCAGUUCUAGGAAAAUGAUAGAGGAUGGAGAAGAAGACAGGAUGAAGCACUGGGAAAAGGUUUGUUCUGCUUCAGAAACAAAAUUACUAAGCGCACAUCUUGGUGCUUAAUUUGUUUCAAGUCCAUUGCAGGUUGUAUAAAUAUUUUGGGUGCCUUCUUAAAUCCAGCAAAAUAGAGACUAUCUAGAAAGGUAUUUCCUUGUGUUAUAACUCGAAGUGUGGCUAGAGACAGGAUUUUACUACUGUAUUCUGCAGCUGUUGACCUAGAGAACGCAACAAAGGGACAUAACAGUUCACAGAUGGAACCAGCUUUACAGUUAUCAAAAAACUUGUGUAUCAAGAAAUUUUCCUAACAACUACAUAAAAAAUGAGGACCAGCUCAUUGGUUGACUAAGGAGUUACAGCUUGAAGAGAAUGGAAUGAAACCCAACCUGGUUAUGGUAGCAGUGAUGAAAAAGUGGGGCUUAGAUCUCCUGCAGCACCAAGUACAGGCGAUUGACAACUCCAGUUUCUGAAGGAGUCCAGAGUAACCAAAGCAAUCAGUGAGAAAAGUGAAGCAGGAGGCAUCAAACUACCCGACCUUAAAUUACACUACAGAGCUAUGGUAACAAUAACAGCAUGGUAUGGCACCAGAACAGACAUGAAGACCAACGGAACAGAAAUUCCAUAAAAUUAUAUGGAAAUAAACCCACAUAAAUAUAGCUAUCUCAUAAAUAUAGCUAUCUCCUACUAGACAAAGGAACCAUAAACAUACAUUGAAGAAAAGAUAGCCUCUUCAACAGAUGGUGCUGGGAAACCUGGAAAUCCAUAUGAAGUAGAAUGAAAUUUAACCCCUUUCACCCUGCACAAAACUCAAUUCAAAAUGCAUCAAGGACCUAGACAUUGGACCAGAGACCCUGCACAUACUAGAAGAAAAUGUAGGCCCGACACUCCAUCAUGUUCAUUGGGUUUUCUUUCAAGUUUUCUUUGUGUUGUAGGAUUUCUACAGCAGAAAGACAUUUUGUUUACUGCUCAGUAGUGAUUUGGAUUUUCCUAGAACACUUGCACCCCCCACCCCUGCUUUGGAUCAGUUGCCAUGAUUAUCCAUGCCUGGAUUAUCAGCCUAUCCGUGGUUGGAAUGAUAGGGCUGGACAUUGUGAUGAUGGUGAUUAAUGCCUGCCUCUCCCUGCAAAUGAAAUGGAGGAGGGCCAGCCUGAAGUCAAGGUUCCUGGGCAGGCAGAAAUGGCUCCUAUAUACUUAGUAGGAGCUCUAGAUUUUUGAGCAGAUGGAUCAGACAUGGAAAUAAACAUUUGAAAAAGACUGAGAUGGCCAUAGUAUGUUCAUAGAGUGAUCAUGUGAUUUAUCAUCUAAAUUGGGACACUUUUGAAAAGGAAGGAGGUGGUUAUUAAUCACUAAUGGAUGCAUAUUUCCCCUGGGAGAGCUCACCAUGUGGAAGAGAGAUUAUUUGUAAUUGUCGCACUAAUCUCUUUACUGACGUAAUAGAAGUCUAAUUGUAGUUAUGACUGCAAAACCAUGUAUAGUUUUACAAUCACCCUCAACCAAUUCCCAAGAGAAAAUAACUUCUUAGAACCAAGGCCAAGACUCACAAAAGGGUCAAGAUUCAUAAAAAAAUUAAAUCUCCAGUGGAAGGAACCAUCUGCUCCUUGAUAGUUGGUUCUCAGGAAAUAGCUUGGGGUGAUGAAUCACCAUUUCACCUGUGUGCUUUCAUAGUAGAGUGGUUAAUAGAAAGCCUCAAAGUUAUGAGCCUGACAUAAUUUAAAGUCUUUCCCAUUGUGACCUUAAGCAAGUUACUUAACCUCUCCAAACCUAUGUCUUUGCCUAUAAAAUGGAAAUUAUUAUACUUCACAGGAUCGUUCAGAAUCAAGGUAUAUUUAUAUAUAGUGUAUUUACAGUGCAUAGAUUUACUGUUUGUGUAGAGCUCUGACAGCUUAGCUGCUAUUACUAUCAAAGAGGGUAAUACAAGAGAAAAAAAGUAGUUUUUUUUAAAGUAGGUAGAAUCUCCUAGCAAGCAUUGUUUAUACUGCUUCUUCCUUAUUGAUUCACUAAUCUACUCUUUUGGUCAAAUUCCUUCCCUUAGGCCCAUUCUACUUCCAGGUUAGGGAGAAGUGGCUGAAUAUCUCCCAGGUGGUUCAAGAAUGUCUUUGACCUUGUCAGUUGUUACUAGAGACUUCCAAGCCUUUUCAGGAAGAAAAGUCUGGCCACAGGAAUCUAAUUUUUUUUAAGUGAAUAUUCACAUCAGUUUUAUUCCUAAUCUCUAAAAACUAGACAAGCCCAAAUGAAAUGUCCAUUGGUGAAUAGAUGAACAAAUUGCAGAAUGUCCGAACUACCGAAGCUCCUUCUCAAUAAGAAGGAAUGGGCUAUUGAUACACAAACAACCAUGGAAGAAGUGCAAAUGUUUAUACUAAUGAUAGAAGCUACAGGAUUUGAUCUCUUUCAUAGAAAAGCAAAACCAGAGGGGCAAACUGGAGAAGAGGAAGUGAUUAAGUACACAAGGCAUUUUUGUGGAGAAACAGUCAAUAUCUUUUUAAGAAUUAAAUAAUGCAUAGUGUACAUUUACAGAGUACACGAUAUACAUAUACAAUGUAUAAUGAUCAAAUCAAGGUAAUUGACAUUUCCAUCUCCUUAAAUGUUUGUCAUUUUUUUUUUCUGUUGGGAACUUUUGAGAUCCUUUCUUCUGGUACUUUAUAAAAUAUUGUUAUUAUAAAUUAUAGUAAUUCCACUGUGUUAUAGAAUACUCAAACUUAUUCUAUUUAAAUGUAUUUUGAUGCCUGUUGUCCAACCUUAUUCUACUGUCUUUUCCUCUAUCCUUCCUACCUCUAGUGACCAUGAGUCUACUUUCUAAUUUAAUAAAA
Molecule: long non-coding RNA, 3093 nt
Organism: Sciurus carolinensis (gray squirrel)
Lineage: Eukaryota; Metazoa; Chordata; Mammalia; Rodentia; Sciuridae
Exons: 4
Source: RefSeq, a predicted model, not a curated record